Molecule: ribosomal RNA, 408 nt
Filed under: uncultured bacterium
Lineage: Bacteria
Description: partial 16S ribosomal RNA
Rfam family: Bacterial small subunit ribosomal RNA
Source: RNAcentral
GACGAACGCUGGCGGCGCGCUUAACACAUGCAAGUCGAACGAAGUGGCGAACGGGUGAGUAAUACGUGAGUAACCUGCCCUCCUUUUUGGGAUAAGCCUUGGAAACGGGGUCUAAUACCGGAUAAAGGGGGAUGGGAUCGCGGCUUAUCAGCUUGUUGGUGGGGUGAUGGCCUACCAAGGUGGGGACGGGUAGCCGGCCUGAGAGGGUGACCGGCCACAUUGGGACUGAGACACGGCCCAGACUCCUACGGGAGGCAGCAGUGGGGGAUAUUGCACAAUGGACGAAAGCCUGAUCCAGCCAUGCCGCGUGUGUGAAGAAGGUCUUCGGAUUGUAAAGCACUGUAGUUAGGGAGGCGUUACCAACAGAAUAAGCACCGGCUAACUUCGUGCCAGCAGCCGCGGUAAUAC